GAUGAAGAACGCAGNGAAAUGCG
Molecule: ribosomal RNA, 23 nt
Filed under: Tetrahymena thermophila II
Lineage: Eukaryota; Ciliophora; Oligohymenophorea; Hymenostomatida; Tetrahymenidae
Description: partial 5.8S ribosomal RNA
Source: RNAcentral